Molecule: non-coding RNA, 362 nt
Organism: Pelobates cultripes (western spadefoot toad)
Lineage: Eukaryota; Metazoa; Chordata; Amphibia; Anura; Pelobatidae
Source: the annotation of a GenBank genome assembly
UUAUUUUUUUAAUUGGGGUAGCCCCCAAAAUAUUGGGACAUUGUUCCGCAGAGUAGCUGUUAACAUUAUAGUUGCGCAGGAACUUUGUUGACUCUAGAGAACCUUGGGCAAAUCGCACAUCCCCAUGGCGGCGACUUUGCAUGCAGAUGUCAUCCAUAUCAACUUUCGAUGCCAGUUUCUGCGCCUACCAUGGUGACCAUGGGUAACGGGGAAUCAGGGUCCCGUUCCAUACAGGUACCCUGAGAAACAGCUACCACAUACAAGGAAGGCAGCAGGUGCACAAAUGACCCACUUCCAACGCGGGAAGGUAGUGACGACAAAUAACAAUACAGGACUCUUUAGAGGUCCUGUAGUUGUAAUGA